RNAcentral lists this ribosomal RNA (258 nucleotides) under uncultured bacterium. RNAcentral's name for it is "partial 16S ribosomal RNA". It matches the Rfam family "Bacterial small subunit ribosomal RNA", at positions 75 to 334 of the family's 1533-position model. The record is from RNAcentral.
CUUGCUUUCUUUGCUGGCGACCGGCGCACGGGUGAGUAACACGUAUCCAACCUGCCCUUUACUCGGGGAUAGCCUUUCGAAAGAAAGAUUAAUACCCGAUAGCAUAAUGAUUCCGCAUGGUUUCAUUAUUAAAGGAUUCCGGUAAAGGAUGGGGAUGCGUUCCAUUAGGUCGUUGGUGGGGUAACGGCCCACCAAGCCUUCGAUGGAUAGGGGUUCUGAGAGGAAGGUCCCCCACAUUGGAACUGAGACACGGUCCAA